RNAcentral lists this ribosomal RNA (501 nucleotides) under uncultured bacterium. RNAcentral's name for it is "partial 16S ribosomal RNA". It matches the Rfam family "Bacterial small subunit ribosomal RNA", at positions 30 to 523 of the family's 1533-position model. The record is from RNAcentral.
AUUGAACGCUGGCGGCAGGCUUAACACAUGCAAGUCGAGCGGGGGAAGGUAGCUUGCUACCGGACCUAGCGGCGGACGGGUGAGUAAUGCUUAGGAAUCUGCCUAUUAGUGGGGGGCAACAUCUCGAAAGGGAUGCUAAUACCGCAUACGUCCUACGGGAGAAAGCAGGGGAUCUUCGGACCUUGCGCUAAUAGAUGAGCCUAAGUCGGAUUAGCUAGUUGGUGGGGUAAAGGCCUACCAAGGCGACGAUCUGUAGCGGGUCUGAGAGGAUGAUCCGCCACACUGUGACUGAGACACGGCCCAGACUCCUACGGGAGGCAGCAGUGGGGAAUAUUGGACAAUGGGGGGAACCCUGAUCCAGCCAUGCCGCGUGUGUGAAGAAGGCCUUAUGGUUGUAAAGCACUUUAAGCGAGGGGGAGGCUACUUUAGUUAAUACCUAGAGAUAGUGGACGUUACUCGCAGAAUAAGCACCGGCUAACUCUGUGCCAGCAGCCGCAGUAA